GAGCGCGGGACUCUCGGGACUCUUGAUCUCGGGCUGACAAGUUUUCUCAGAUUGUUCUCCAGUAAAACAGUGGUGUCCUAUGAGCUGGUUCAAGGUGUUUUACAGGGAGGACUUGCCUUGGGCCAACCACCUUCAGCCCCCACACUGAAGAUCUCUGAGUCACGCUGUGAAUCAUCACAAGACUCAAGACAGGAUGUGCAAGUUCUUACUCCUGGCACAGUCAUCUCAAAAGGCUUGGUAUACCUCAAUAUGUGAAUAUCGACCAUAUUCAGCCUGAAGACGGUCUGGACAGCAGAUUUUUCCUCCACUCCUCCCCCCAUUCCUCAGGGAAGCACCUCAGAAAUGACUAACAUCAUGACAGGAAAGGUAGAUAACUGUUCUCACCUGCCUUAGUUUACAAAGAAGCACGUAGUAGUGGUUUCUUAUAAGUACUCAGGACUAACGGAGAAAAUCUAAUGACUGUACUCUGGUCAUAGAGUGAACUUUGUUGGAUGUGUAAUCAUGAGCACUGGAUUAGAGAUAAACCCACAUUUUAGUCGUUGAAAAGAACAACAUACUGGGAGCAUUGGUUAUAUAUUAGAAUAAGAGAAAGCAGAUAUAUUUGGAUAUGUUCAAAAAGACCAACAUGUCAUAUUAACACAAUUCAUAAAUAGAACUAAUGAAAUCCAAAGUCAAGAAUAACAUCAGAGGCAGCUCAAAGUUGUCAUGAGGCAAGAUGAGCUUACCAACAUUUAAACCAGGUUAUAUAAAAAAUAAAACCAUUGUUUUUUUUCCUCCC
Long non-coding RNA from Lynx canadensis (Canada lynx), 778 nucleotides. RefSeq lists it as uncharacterized. The transcript has 3 exons. NCBI's taxonomy places the organism in Eukaryota, Metazoa, Chordata, Mammalia, Carnivora, Felidae. The record is from RefSeq and is a predicted model, not a curated record.